RNAcentral lists this transfer RNA (66 nucleotides) under Taeniopteryx nebulosa. RNAcentral describes it as "tRNA-Leu". It matches the Rfam family "tRNA". Rfam says of the family: Transfer RNA (tRNA) molecules are approximately 80 nucleotides in length. Their secondary structure includes four short double-helical elements and three loops (D, anti-codon, and T loops). Further hydrogen bonds mediate the characteristic L-shaped molecular structure. tRNAs have two regions of fundamental functional importance: the anti-codon, which is responsible for specific mRNA codon recognition, and the 3' end, to which the tRNAs corresponding amino acid is attached (by aminoacyl-tRNA synthetases). tRNAs cope with the degeneracy of the genetic code in two manners: having more than one tRNA (with a specific anti-codon) for a particular amino acid; and 'wobble' base-pairing, i.e. permitting non-standard base-pairing at the 3rd anti-codon position. The record is from RNAcentral. RNAcentral also lists the same sequence under 6 other names. Lineage: Eukaryota; Metazoa; Arthropoda; Insecta; Plecoptera; Taeniopterygidae.
UCUAAUAUGGCAGAUAAGUGCACUGGAUUUAAGCUCCAUUUAUAAAGGAUUAACCUUUUGUUAGAA